UGNUCUGUCACUGACGCUGAGGCUNGAAAGCGUGGGUAGCGAACAGGAUUAGAUACCCUGGUAGUNCACGCCGUAAACGAUGAGUGCUAGGUGUUAGGCCCUUUCCGGGGCUUAGUGCCGGAGCUAACGCAAUAAGCACUCCGCCUGGGGAGUACGACCGCAAGGUUGAAACUCAAAGGAAUUGACGGGGGCCCGCACAAGCGGUGGAGCAUGUGGUUUAAUUCGAAGCAACGCGAAGAACCUUACCAGGUCUUGACAUCCCGAUGCUAUUCUUAGAGAUAGGAAGUUACUUCGGUACAUCGGAGACAGGUGGUGCAUGGUUGUCGUCAGCUCGUAUCGUGAGAUGUUGGGUNNNNNNNNNNNACGAGCGCAACCCUUAUUGUUAGUUGCCAUCAUUAAGUUGGGCACUCUAGCGAGACUGCCGGUAAUAAACCGGAGGAAGGUGGGGAUGACGUCAAAUCAUCAUGCCCCUUAUGACCUGGGCUACACACGUGCUACAAUGGUCGGUACAACGAGUUGCGAGCCGGUGACGGCAAGCUAAUCUCUGAAAGCCGAACUCAGUUCGGAUUGGAGGCUGCAACUCGCCUCCAUGAAGUCGGAAUCGCUAGUAAUCGCGGAUCAGCACGCCGCGGUGAAUACGUUCCCGGGCCU
RNAcentral lists this ribosomal RNA (651 nucleotides) under uncultured bacterium. RNAcentral describes it as "partial 16S ribosomal RNA". It matches the Rfam family "Bacterial small subunit ribosomal RNA", at positions 730 to 1381 of the family's 1533-position model. The record is from RNAcentral.